Molecule: long non-coding RNA, 877 nt
Filed under: Solanum tuberosum (potato)
Lineage: Eukaryota; Viridiplantae; Streptophyta; Magnoliopsida; Solanales; Solanaceae
Description: long non-coding RNA (STUB_LNC000418)
Source: RNAcentral
GUUAGCGCCUCGCUUGGUGUCGGGUCGAGCAACAUUUCCUCACUACUCUUGUGGUGCUUCUUUCUCUUGUUGUUCUUCCAUCCACCAUCCAGCCUGACAUUGGUGGGCGUUUAUGUCUCCUUCAUUAGUCAUUCCCUUAGUAGCAAACUAUUGCUCUGAUACCACGUUGUCACGGACUUAGAGUCUCACUAAAGCUCCGUGCGACACUUGACAACUUACUCACCAAGAAAUUAAAUAUUAAACAAAUAAAAUUAACAUAAAAAGCGUACCCUAAAAAUUUGAACAUUAUUUUCUCCAUUUUUGCUCUCAAAUUGAGAGCCAAAUUCAUAUCAAAUGGGUGGAAUUCUUACCUAUCUACUUGAAUUUUACACUAUUGAUUCACAAACACAAACCCAACAAAUCUCUAUACAAUUUUAAAUUUAUUUCAUAAAUUCACAAAACCCAUUUGUUAUUCUUGAAGUUUUUUCAAGCUUAUCAAUGAAGUUUUUCAUUUUUUAAUACCCACUAUCACCAAAGAAUACGCACGAAAUCGAGAUUUUGAAAGAAGAAAUAUGGCAAAAUGAAAAGAACUAGGAGGGACGUUGAUUUGCAGCAAAACGAAUGAACUUUGAGAAAAUAUUUAGGGGUGGGACUGUGUGCGGGGGUGUUAAGAAGAAGAAGAAGGAAAAUGGUGGGUGAAUCCAACGAAAGAAGGAAAGAAGUGGAAUGGAUUUAAGAAAUUUGGUUCGGGGGGAGGCAGCAGCGACAUAGAGUGCUUUGAAGAAUAUGACUUCCCCUUCUUUCUUAAUUUGUUUUAGGUGUUUUCAUUUAUUUGUUUUUUAAGAUUUUAAUGUUUUUUUUUCUUAUAAAUUUUAUACAAACUUGCUUUAAAAUUCGU